UUUUUUGCUUCGCCAGGAAACCAAAGAUGAACCAAUGGAACUGCAAUACCCAGUUAAACAUUGUCUGGCAGCAGGACACCCACCCCAAUCUGCAUGAUAAUAAACUUUCAUACAAAGAGAACUACAGGCACACAUGAGAUUUCCUUGUCCAGGAGAAGAUUUUAGGUACCUAGCUAGUUUCAAAGCUGCCUCCAUGUGAGCCAGUUUAGGGGAUGUCCAAAAUUGACUGAGUACAUGAAUUGAGUAGGCUAUAUCUGACCUUGUUAUAGUUAGGUAGAUUAGUCUACCUACUAAUCUUUUGUAGGUAUUCUAGUCCAUAAGUCCAUAUAAACUUUAGAAGGUUUAACAUCAGUUAGACCCACUUCCUUUAAAAUAUCAAAUGUAUAUUUCCUUUGACUAAGGUAAAUAUCAGAAGAGGAUUUAGUAGCUUCAAUACCCAAGAAAUAUCUCAAAGGACCUAGAUCCUUCAUUUUUAACUAAGUAACUAAAUAGUCUUUGACCUGUUGAAUAACUGUAUCCAGUAAUGAUCAGUAAGUCAUCCAUAUAGACUAAUAAAGCUGUACAUCCAGCAGAAGAAUGAGAAAGAAAGAAUGUAUGAUCAACCAUGAGAUUGGUGGAAGCCAAACUGUUUGAGAGUUGAAGACAGUUUAAGAAACCACUGUCUAGGAGCUUGUUUUAAGCCAUAUAAAAACUUUGUAAGUUUUCAAACAAGAGGAACACCCGUAGAGGAAGUAGAAAUACCAAAUCCAGGUGGCAUUGUCAUGUAAACCUCCUCAUCUAAAUCUCCAUGAAGAAAAGCAUUAGAGAUGACUGAACAAGACUAUUUGGAAGACCUAUACAAUCCUUAAAUCUGAGUGGAAGAUGCCUAGUUCUAGCUGGCCUUGUAACAAAAAUAAUAGAAGGAGGAGCGUGAGGAAUUCGAAGAUCAUGAGCAGGUAGAGAGACAUAGAUUAAAGAAGAAGGCACAAUAUUAGGAACAGAUACAGACUAUACAUCGUGAGAAAUAGCACUAGGAGACACAGAAUUAUUAGAAGACUGCUGUGAAUUAGGAAAAAAUUAUAAGUGAUCAUUAAAGACUGCAAGCUCAUUAUCAAGAAUAGAAAAUAAAGAAGAAGUAGAAGAGAGUUGACAUUUAUGGUUGGAAAAGGAAAAACUGUUUCAACAAAAGAGACAUCUUUACUAACAAAACACUUUUUGAUUUGUAAAUCACACAUUUUAUAACCCUUUUUACAGUGAGGAUAACCUAGAAAAAUUUACUUGAUGGCUCUUGAAGAAAAUUUAUCUCUGUGAGGAACAGUAGUGGUGGCAAAACAUAAGCAGCUAAAAACCUUAAUAUGCUUAUAAGAAGAAGCAAUACCAAAUAACAUCUCAUAAGGAGUUUUGUUGUUAAGAGCUUUGGUAGGUAAUCUAUUAAUGUGAUAGGUAGUAGUAAUAAUGCAAUCACCCCAAAAAUAAAUGGGAAGAUAAACAUUAGGUCUCGAAUCCCUAGCUAUAUAUGUCAAGUACAUGUCUAUAUAUGUCCGAGACUAGCAAGAUCAUUAAACUCAGAAACAUUAUAUAUAUGAUCUGAGAGUCUUAACUAUGUAAUAAAAUUAAGUCUUAAAAUGAAAUUUGUGAGAAUAGUGGCAACUUGGGAUUUACUGUGAAAAAAAUAUGUCUAAGUACACCUAGAAAAAUCAUUUAUAAUUGUCAGAAAAUAAGAACAAUUGUUAUGUGUUUUGUGUUUGUAUAGUCCCCAAACAUCACAGUGAAUCAGAUAAAAGAUAUGCAUGCUUACAGAGGUACUAGAAGGAAAAGGAGUUCUUUUCUGUUUGGACAAAUGAAAAAUUUCACAAUGACUCAGAAAAGUAGAAAUACACUGCAAAGGUAAUAAAUUCAAGAUAGCUAGUGAGAUAUACGCCAAUCUAGCAUGCCACAAGUCUAAUGAACUACAUACAGAAGAAACCAUAGAAUCAGCAGAAUGAAUAUCAGCAGUGGACACAAGGAUAACUCAGGAGGAUUGAGAAAGAGGUCAGGAAUUUAAGUUUGGUUUGUCCAAUAUGUACAAACCAUUAACUUGUGUACCAAUCCAUUUCUCCCUCUUCAAAGCCUGGUCAUGCAAAACACAAAUAUUGGAUAAGAGUAACAAAUUAUAGUUUUUAUCCUUAGAGAACUCAGAGACUUAGAUAAGAUUAUAAUGAAAAUCAGGAAUACACAAAACAUUUGUUAGAACCAUAUUAUCAUGAAAUUAUACACAGUACCAAUAUGUGAAAUAACUUAUGUUUGACCAUUUGGUAAACGAAUUGUUAAUGCUACCUGCUAGAUGUUCCUGAUAGGAAAAAGUAAUUGUAGGAGUGGUAGUUUUCAAGCCUUGCUGAAUCAUUUGCAUGAUUUGAUAACACUGAGUUGGAGUAAAGGAUUGAGCAUUGUCCGUAGAUGUACUGGAAAUAGCAUCAGCCCCACCAGGUGGAGUGGAAUAUAAUUUGUUAUUCUGAGUAGAGGAUAGAGUUUGCCUAAUAGUCUGAGAUAGCACUGUAGUAGCACAAAGAACAGAUUUGUGAGGACCAGAAGGAGCAGUAAGAUUCUUAUUACUCUUGGGGU
Molecule: long non-coding RNA, 2580 nt
Filed under: Panax ginseng (ginseng)
Lineage: Eukaryota; Viridiplantae; Streptophyta; Magnoliopsida; Apiales; Araliaceae
Description: long non-coding RNA (PGIN_LNC000579)
Source: RNAcentral